CCCAGGUCAGGCGGGGCUACCCGCUGAAUUUAAGCAUAUCAAUAAGGCCGGAAGGAA
This 57-nucleotide ribosomal RNA is filed under the name Saponaria glutinosa. RNAcentral's name for it is "partial 28S ribosomal RNA". The record is from RNAcentral. Lineage: Eukaryota; Viridiplantae; Streptophyta; Magnoliopsida; Caryophyllales; Caryophyllaceae.